UGGGUGACGAGUGGCGGACGGGUGAGUAAUGUCUGGGGAUCUGCCCGAUAGAGGGGGAUAACCACUGGAAACGGUGGCUAAUACCGCAUAACGUCGCAAGACCAAAGAGGGGGACCUUCGGGCCUCUCACUAUCGGAUGAACCCAGAUGGGAUUAGCUAGUAGGCGGGGUAAUGGCCCACCUAGGCGACGAUCCCUAGCUGGUCUGAGAGGAUGACCAGCCACACUGGAACUGAGACACGGUCCAGACUCCUACGGGAGGCAGCAGUGGGGAAUAUUGCACAAUGGGCGCAAGCCUGAUGCAGCCAUGCCGCGUGUAUGAAGAAGGCCUUCGGGUUGUAAAGUACUUUCAGCGGGGAGGAAGGC
Molecule: ribosomal RNA, 364 nt
Filed under: Pantoea sp.
Lineage: Bacteria; Pseudomonadati; Pseudomonadota; Gammaproteobacteria; Enterobacterales; Erwiniaceae
Description: bacterial SSU rRNA
Rfam family: Bacterial small subunit ribosomal RNA
Source: RNAcentral